This 600-nucleotide ribosomal RNA is filed under the name uncultured archaeon. RNAcentral's name for it is "bacterial SSU rRNA". It matches the Rfam family "Archaeal small subunit ribosomal RNA", at positions 85 to 688 of the family's 1478-position model. The record is from RNAcentral.
ACGGCUCAUUAACACGUGGUUAACAUACCCUCAGGUGGGGGAUAACCUUGGGAAACUGAGGAUAAUACCCCAUAGAAAAAGCAGUCUGGAACGAUUCUUUUUCGAAAGCAUAUGCGCCUGAGGAUUGGACUGCGCUCGAUUAGGUAGUUGGUGGGGUAAUGGCCUACCAAGCCUACGAUCGGUACGGGCCUUGAGAGAGGAAGCCCGGAGAUGGGGACUGAGACACGGCCCCAGGCCCUACGGGGCGCAGCAGGCGCGAAACCUCCGCAAUGCACGAAAGUGCGACGGGGGGAUCCCAAGUGCUCAUGCACAGCAUGGGCUUUUAUCAAGUGUAAACAGCUUGAGGAAUAAGGGCUGGGCAAGUUCGGUGCCAGCAGCCGCGGUAACACCGACGGCCCGAGUGGUGGCCACUUUUAUUGGGCCUAAAGCGUCCGUAGCCGGUCCAGUAAGUCCUUGUUUAAAUCCUGCGGCUUAACCGCAGGACUGGCAGGGAUACUGCUGGACUUGGGACCGGGAGAGGACAAGGGUACUUCAGGGGUAGCGGUGAAAUGUGUUGAUCCUUGAAGGACCACCUAUGGCGAAGGCACUUGUCUGGAACGG